AUGAAGUGAAAAGUAAAUUCUCAUGUGUUAGUAUGCAAAUAAAGGCAUUUUUUUAAUUGUUUUGCAAUUGUUGUCCUUGCUAACCUCUCCAUAAUUUGUGUCCAGCAUCGUCAGUUGUUACAUAGGGAAAUUUUAAAACCCAAUACACAUAUCAUACAGUACAGGUUUAAAUUGUUUAAGGAGCUUGGUCAUAACUAGGAUAAUACCAAUAUGGUUUGUUUAAUACCAGAAUCUAAACCUUUUAUCAAUAUCAUCCAAGAUUAUUUUGGAAAGUCCUGGGAGGCCAAUACACCUUAAAAUCUGGUUUCUGAUAACCAAUACAUUUAUAUGACAUCAUUGUUAAUAAGCUCCUAAACACAUAGACAC
This 366-nucleotide long non-coding RNA is filed under the name Homo sapiens (human). RNAcentral describes it as "HSALNT0185638". The record is from RNAcentral. Lineage: Eukaryota; Metazoa; Chordata; Mammalia; Primates; Hominidae.